UUAGAUAGCUGAGCUGGUAGAGCAUGAGGCUCUUAAUUUCAGGGUUGUGGGUUUGAGUCCCAUGUGGGGGAAAAG
Molecule: non-coding RNA, 75 nt
Organism: Podarcis lilfordi (Lilford's wall lizard)
Lineage: Eukaryota; Metazoa; Chordata; Lepidosauria; Squamata; Lacertidae
Source: the annotation of a GenBank genome assembly